UGGGGAAUCUUGCACAAUGGGGGAAACCCUGAUGCAGCGACGCCGCGUGAGCGAUGAAGGUUUUCGAAUCGUAAAGCUCUGUCCUAUGGGAAGAUAAUGACGGUACCAUAGGAGGAAGCCCCGGCUAACUACGUGCCAGCAGCCGCGGUAAUACGUAGGGGGCGAGCGUUGUCCGGAAUUACUGGGCGUAAAGGGUUCGCAGGCGGCAUGACAAGUCCGAUGUAAAAGGCGAAAGCUCAACUUUCGUAAGCAUCGGAAACUGUCAAGCUUGAGUGAAGGAGAGGCAAGUGGAAUUCCUAGUGUAGCGGAGGAAUGCGUAGAUAUUAGGAGGAAUACCGGUGGCGAAGGCGACUUGCUGGACUUCAACUGACGCUGAGGAACGAAAGCGUGGGUAGCAAACAGG
This 403-nucleotide ribosomal RNA is filed under the name bacterium. RNAcentral describes it as "partial 16S ribosomal RNA". It matches the Rfam family "Bacterial small subunit ribosomal RNA", at positions 355 to 776 of the family's 1533-position model. The record is from RNAcentral.